GGGGCCGUGGCACCGAUAGAAACACAACGGCCCUGUUGAAGUUUAUUACUCUCUAUCGACAAUAUUUCCCCUUCGAAGCAUCCUCAUAGACGACUCACCAUGAUUACGAUUAACUAUUUACCUAAUUUCUGCCGCAGUCUCUUCUCAUCCCCUUAAUACAUCGUUUAUCAUCCCCUCAUAUCUCUAAGAUUUGACUAUCUUAUUAAAACAAUCAGGGAAAUAUAUUUAUUCUAUAGGCCGUGGCACCGAUAGAAACACAGCGGCCCUGUUGAAGUUUGUCCAUCUCUAUUAAAUAUUUCUCGUUAAAAGUUUCUUAGAAUGCCCUCACAUACAUCUAACUAUUACAAUGACCCAUAACUCUAAGCUAUACUGCAGUUUUAUCUUAUCCCCUUAAUACAUUGUUUAUCAUCCCCUCAUUUCUACAAGAUUUAACUAUUUUAUUAAAACAAUUAGGCAAAUAUUGCGGUUCUGUUCGAGUUUUAAACUUUCUAUCGCCGAUAUUUCUCAUUUUAAAUUUGUCUAUAAAUAAAUAAAGGUAAAAACCUAAAACAUUUUUUCGCCCCUCUAAAUUAUUUUAAAACAUCAUAAGCCGUGCUACCGAUAGAAACACAGCGGGCCUGUUGGAGUUUGUCAAUCUUUAUGAAUAUUUCUGCUUAUUAGUCUGUGAAGAUGCUCUCACAAAGUCCUAAUUAUUACGAUCAAUUAUAAACCUCUAAGCUCUGCCUCAGCCUUGAACAGUUCCUAAAUAUAUUGUUUUGCCAUCUCUUUUUCUCUUUGAAAGUAUCCUCACAGACGGCUCAUUAUUAUGAUACAGGAUAUAUGAUUAAAGGACAACUUAAAUAUAUCUUAUGUUGUGUUAGACUUAAUUAGUCACUUGAAUCACCCCACCUAGACCUCACCAGAUUUGCAUGACUCAUUUUUCUCGCUUCUUACUUCGAGAUUUCCUGGUAUCCCGGUGGUCUGUUUAACUCUGCAGUGUGCUUGUAAAUCGAUUCCUUUGGGACUCAGUCUUCAAACGCGGCGUUGUAUUUAAUCGCAUAAUUUUAAGUUAUAUAUUAAUCGUUUUUUAAUUCUAAUUUCGUCUUAUUUAAAAACAUUAAUUAUGUUUGAAACUAUCUUUAUAUAUUAUCGUGUAUUUUAGCUUAUAAAAAUAGAAAAUUAGAAAGGCAACAUUAUAAUCUUAUACAGACUAUUCUAAUUUGAAUAACAAUUGUUUGUUUUUCAUUCGAUAACCUACAAAAUGUACUAUUUUGUUUAAAAAUAACUAUAAUAAAAUAACAACAACACAAAAAUAUGUAAUCAUAAAGUAAAACCUAAUAUAAUCAGAUGAAU
Molecule: non-coding RNA, 1332 nt
Organism: Cinara cedri
Lineage: Eukaryota; Metazoa; Arthropoda; Insecta; Hemiptera; Aphididae
Source: the annotation of a GenBank genome assembly